Mustela erminea (ermine) is the source of this 3330-nucleotide long non-coding RNA. RefSeq lists it as uncharacterized. NCBI's taxonomy places the organism in Eukaryota, Metazoa, Chordata, Mammalia, Carnivora, Mustelidae. The record is from RefSeq and is a predicted model, not a curated record. The transcript is spliced from 2 exons.
GGGAGCGCCGCGGCUGGCAGGAAAGGUUGGGAACUCAGAGGGUAUGGCCGCUGCGCGGUUCUUCCGCGCCACGGAGCCCGUCUGGGGCCCGAGGUUGGGAGCAAAAGCAGAUGGACAGUUUGUAGAGACUUGAGCUAAGCUCAGGGUGAGAAGGGAGAGCGGAUGUGGGGCCCACAAGCAGCAGCACCACUAUCCAGACCCCAGUCCCCGCACUCUGCGUGGGGAGGCACGGCCGGGAGAGGCGAAAGGAAGCUGAGGCUCUUCGGGCGGACGGGGCUGGAAGGGGUUUGUUCGCGGCUUGUAGGAGCCGCACUGUUGGGAGUAGAAGCCAGGCCUCCCCACUGUUAGCUUCUGCCUCCCUCCGGCGUCUCUCCACAGCAGCCGGCCCGGCAGGCGCUUCCCGACGCCGACGGCUCCGCCGACGUGCACGUCCCCGGGUGAAAGAUUGCACUUUCCAGGCUGGAUGACAGGCCUGCAAGGACUGAGCCGACCUUCGAGUAACAUGAUGGGGAUGCUCAGUGAGGCGACGACAGCCUGCAGCUGGGAGCUCCCCUUUAGUGCAGGUGGUGCUCAGUGGGAGCUUCUACUUUAGGUUAAAAUAAACAGAUCUCUUUUUAAAGUGAGGGGUUCCAAAUUGUCACUUCUGCUUUGUUUUUAGCAGAUCAAUAAGGCCGAAAACUUGGUUCACUUAAUCUAGGGUGGUAGAAAUGGGCAAAAAUACGACGCUGGAUUCUACUCCCUACUUGCCGUCAGGCACCCAUGCAUUGGAACAGAGGCUCCCCAGGGGCCACACACAUGUCCAGUAGUCGCCUUGUUUCAAGUUAACUGAGAAAAUUCAAGCCGUUAUGCAACACACACCUUAAGGUCCUGUGUCCCCGUGUCCGUCCCUGCCUCGCGUACCUUCCUCUUACUCAUUGGCCUGGGCUGCUGAUCAGUGGUUCUCUUUCUAGGCCUCUCUCAGCUGUAUUCCUACCACUGAUCAGUGCCUCCUUGAAACCUAACUCCCUUUGCUUUGCUCCUUUUUCUUCUCGCUACUUCAUACUUCUUAGCUGGCUCUUUCCUCUCUUUAAAUAGUGUAAGUUCCAGCAUCAUCAUCAUCGUUACUGUUAUUUUGUCUGUUUUCUCCUUGAGCGUAUCAUCCACUCACUGUUUUAAUCUGUUUGUUCACGAAGCCUAAAACUACUGUUGUUCCGGACUUCUCCCUUGAGAUUCAGGCUUUCACUUCUAUUGGUUGACAAGUUCCUUGGGGCCUUCCUAGAUGUAUUCUGAAACCAGGCCCAUAGUUGGAUGGCAGGGCAAGGCAAAAGAAAGAGGUAGGCCAUGCUGGAUUGGUAGGUAGCGGGUUGAAUAAGCAAAGGAACUUAUAUACAAGACUUGUCUUGGGUGGCUGCAAGAGGAGAAGAUCUCUUGACUUGCCUGCCAAAUCUUGAAAGUUUUAUAUCCUUUCAGUCACGUAUACAGUCCAGAUGGGUCUUAACAGUACAUCACUAUCUCAAGGCUGUGUCCUUGGAGCAGCCUCUGGGUGCAGAGAAGGCAAGCUGGACACCCAUUCCAAGAACGGGGGGGUGGAGUGAGGAGCCUCCAGUUGCCAGUGUCCAGCUCACAGGUCAGCCAGUGGUCAUGUCCUCUUGGUGACUCCAAUAAUUUCCUUGGCUUCUAGAUAGAUCCACUUGGGAGGGUGCAUGAACCACUCCAACUUUAACUUAUCCUUUUCAUUUCCAUUAUCUUGGUGCUGUGUCUAGCUUUACCACCCCUGCCCACACCCCCAAAUUCAUCUUGUAAGUAGGAACCAUAAUGAUCAGUCCCAAAUGUAAAUCUAAACGUUUCACUUGUCUGCUUAUAUUUCUUCCAUUCAUCUUUCUUGUCACCUCCAAGGUAAAGUCUUAACUUCAUAGCCUGCCACGCUAAGAACUUCAUGAUCUUGUCACUGUUGAUGUUUCCAACCUGACCUCCCACCACACCCACUUCCGGGUCAUGAGGCUAUUUUAUACUUUGAGACCUUAUUUUUGUUGACUGUCUGGGCUAUCCUGAUUUUCUUUGCCUGACUUUUAGUUAUCCUUACUUAUUUUUUUGGAGGGCCUUUCAAGAAGUUUUUACCCAAUCUGCAGUCUGAAUUAGUUGACUUUCCUCCUGGCUUUUACUGGCAAUCAUCUUUUCAUUCAAAAAACUUUAUUAAGCCCCUAAUUUUGUGCCAGAUGCUGAGCUACAUACUAGAAACAUAAUAGUGAACAGAUUGAUAGAAACCCAUCCAACAGUGGACCUGACAGUCUCAUAGGGAAGGGAAGCAGGUAAUAAAAAUAUGUUUUAAAAGAAUGCAGUUAAGCCAGAUUGGCUCCAUGCUUGAGAAUAUCUGGGAAUUGGCCAGCUUUAACAGAUGGGGGCGGGGGGGGGGGGGAGAGAACGGAGGUGAGACAGGUGCUGCAGAUAGAGGUAAUAAGUCAUUUGAAGGCCCUUUCAGGAGAGGAGAGCACAGUCUAGGAACGCAGAUUCCAGGCAAAGGGCUGAGGAGGUAAAUAGAGACCAGAUCAUGAAUAUUCUAGUCAUGUUAAGGAGUUCUUACUAACGACGAUAGAAAGCUUGAAGGAUUUUGACAUGACUAGAUUUAUAUUUUAGGUGAUGAUUCUGGCUAGUCUGAGAAAAAUGGAAUUCAAGACUGGCAGGGAAACAAGUUCAAGAGGGAGAGAAACCAGUUGGGACAUCAUUAUAGUAAUCCAGAGAAAUGAAGACCGCAGCCUGUACAAGGGUAUUGCCAGUGUGAAGGAAACAGAUCCCAAAGGAAUUUAAGAAAAAGUGGUGGGGACACCUGGGUGGCUUAGUCGUUAAGCAUCUGCCUUCAGCUCAGGUCAUGAUCCCAGGGACCUGGGGUUGAGUCCAGCUAUCAUAUAUUCAUAGCUAAGUAUAGGUCCUUAAGGGUAGAUGCUUGAUAAAUGUUGUUCUGUGAGAGUUUUCUGACUCAAGCACUCAGACAAAUGGUCAUUCUGAUUUAUAGAGGGAAACUCAUUUGGUAGUGAGUGGUGGUUGAGUUUUAGGCAUGUCAAACUCAAGGCGCGCCUGUGGGAGAUACACAUGAAAAUGUCCAGAUCCAUGGCAUUUGGAAGAGAUCAGUGGAUUCUUUGUAUACAUAGAAAUAAAUAAAUAAACAAACAAAUAAAUAAAUAAAAGUUUCUGUUAUACUGAAAUAAUCUGUUUCAUGUCUGUCUCAACGACUAUCCAGGGCUGUUCUUAAUGACUUGAUUCCCAAGCACCUAACACCACGUCUGGCACAAACGGAGCACCCAGUUAAUGUUUGUUGUUGAAAGGAGCUACUUUUUAAAAAUGGUUCAUCUAAAA